AACGAACGCUGGCGGCAGGCUUAACACAUGCAAGUCGAACGGGUGUAGCAAUACAUCAGUGGCAGACGGGUGAGUAACACGUGGGAACCUUCCUAGGGGUACGGAACAACUCAGGGAAACUUGAGCUAAUACCGUAUACGUCCGUGAGGAGAAAGAUUUAUCGCCCUUAGACGGGCCCGCGUCGGAUUAGCUAGUUGGUGGGGUAACGGCCUACCAAGGCGACGAUCCGUAGCUGAUCUUAGAGGAUGAUCAGCCACACUGGGACUGAGACACGGCCCAGACUCCUACGGGAGGCAGCAGAGGGGAAUCUUGGACAAUGGGCGCAAGCCUGAUCCAGCCAUGCCGCGUGAGUGAAGAAGGUCUUCGGAUUGUAAAGCUCUUUUGCCAGGGACGAUAAUGACGGUGCCUGGAGAAUAAGCCCCGGCAAACUUCGUGCCAGCCGCCGCUGUAA
This 451-nucleotide ribosomal RNA is filed under the name uncultured bacterium. RNAcentral describes it as "partial 16S ribosomal RNA". It matches the Rfam family "Bacterial small subunit ribosomal RNA", at positions 29 to 523 of the family's 1533-position model. The record is from RNAcentral.